RNAcentral lists this long non-coding RNA (432 nucleotides) under Rosa chinensis. RNAcentral describes it as "sRNA RchiOBHm_Chr4g0425051". Lineage: Eukaryota; Viridiplantae; Streptophyta; Magnoliopsida; Rosales; Rosaceae. The record is from RNAcentral.
CGCAGGCGGCUGUGGUUGUGCGCGGCUUGUCUGGUCAGACCCUCUGGCGGUAGGACUUGGAGUCUCUAUGGUGCCAUCCGGCCGAGUGUGUGCCGCCAGGAAACCGGCACGGGACACCUCCGACUGGGUAGGCAGAGGAGUCUGCUGAGAACCAUCCGCUGGCUGUGCACCACUUUCCCCGCUUCCCGAGCGAACACCUUCAGGCUGGACAGGAACCGCAGCUUGCCCCGGCGGAGCAUUUUGGACUGGCAGAACAGGUGGCUGGGACGCCUUCGCAAAGUCAAUGGCGCCCCUCUGCUUCAGCAUCUCCACGUUGGCUAGGGCGCCGGCCUUCGCCGAUUCAGUCAUCGCCUUUUUGUACUCCGCCGACUGUUUGAAUUUCUCCACAGCGGCGGCAGCGGCACGGGUCCCUUCGUCCCGCAGGCGAGCUAC